This 221-nucleotide unclassified non-coding RNA is filed under the name uncultured Actinomycetes bacterium. RNAcentral describes it as "uncultured actinobacterium contains 16S-23S intergenic spacer region". Lineage: Bacteria; Bacillati; Actinomycetota; Actinomycetes. The record is from RNAcentral.
UCCGAGUUGUCCCCGGCAGUCCUCUUAGAGUCCCCGACAUAACUCGCUGGCAACUAAGAGCAGGGGUUGCGCUCGUUGCGGCACUUAAGCCAACACCUCACGGCACGAGCUGACGACAGCCAUGCAGCACCUGUGCUAGCCCCUUACGGACACGGGCUUUCACCCGCUUUAACUAGCAUGUCAAACCCAGGUAAGGUGGGGAUGACGUCUCCUCAUGCGUU